This 403-nucleotide ribosomal RNA is filed under the name uncultured bacterium. RNAcentral describes it as "partial 16S ribosomal RNA". It matches the Rfam family "Bacterial small subunit ribosomal RNA", at positions 28 to 526 of the family's 1533-position model. The record is from RNAcentral.
GACGAACGCUGGCGGCGUGCCUAAUACAUGCAAGUCGAACGCAGUGGGGACGGGUGAGUAACACGUGGGUAACCUCCCAUCAGAGGGGAUAACACUUGGAAACAGGUGCUAAACCGAUACUGAUGGAUGGACCCGCGGUGCAUUCGCUAGUUGGUGAGGUAACGGCUCACCAAGGCCACGAUGCAGAGCCGACUUGUGAGGGGGAUCGGCCACGAUGGGACGGAGACAAGGGCCAGAAUCCUACGGGAGGCAGCAGGAGGGAAUCUUCGGAAAUGGUCGAAAGUCUGACCGAGCAACGCCGCGUGAGUGAUGAAGGUUUUCGGAUCGUACAACUCUGUUAAUCGGGACGCGGUACCGGAAUAGAAAGCCACGGCUAACUACGUGCCAGCAGCCGCGGUAAUUC